UCAUUCACAGGAUAUGGGCAUUGCUGGCUCGGCCAGAAUUUAUUGCCCAUCCGUGAUUCCCCAGAGGGCUGUCCAGAGUCAACUGCAUUGCUGUGGGACUGGAGUAACGUAACGUACAGGCCAGACCGGGGACGUGGAAAGGGAGAAUUCACAGACAGGCAGCUCAAGUCAAACAUUGGAUCAAGAGCUGCAGGUAACACUCAGUCCUCAGGAGCUUUGAACAUGGAAGGUAAAAGCAACGUUCACAGUGAAGAGAAACCAUGCACGUGGUCUGUGUGGACAAGCCUUCAGUCAAUUGUCUGGCCUGUCGAUACGUCAAUGCAGUCAAAACAGAGACAACAAUGACAUCAAGCAGCACUUGCUUUGUAAUGUCAUGGUCAUGGAUCUCAGUUUGAGUUCAGCCAGAGCCACUCAGCUCCUGGUCUCCUUACAAUCUUGGUGCAAACAUGGACCAAACAGCUGAAUUCCAAAUAUGAGAGGGACUAUCCGCUAUCUUAAGGCUCCAUUUGACAGAGCAUUGUAUUAAGGAAUCAUAACAAAGCUAAAGUCAAUGGGAACGAGAGGAUGUUAUUCUUCCUUAUCUGGUUUUUGAAAAGAUUGCAUCUUCAGACCUCGGUAGAUCAAAAAAGGUGAAUUUAAUCAAACUUGUACCACAGACAUGUGGAAGAAGUCUCGAAGUCUAGCUUGGAGACACUCAACUUUUUACAGCUCAAUACAGCAUAUUAAGACACUUUCAUGUCAGAAUGGUUGCAUGUAACAUUGGUAUUAAAUAAAUUGUAUGUCAGUUACUUAC
This is a long non-coding RNA of Rhincodon typus (whale shark), 793 nucleotides long. RefSeq lists it as uncharacterized. The transcript has 2 exons. Lineage: Eukaryota; Metazoa; Chordata; Chondrichthyes; Orectolobiformes; Rhincodontidae. The record is from RefSeq and is a predicted model, not a curated record.